GACGAACGCUGGCGGCGUGCCUAAUACAUGCAAGUAGAACGCUGAAGGCCGGAGCUUGCUCUUUCUGGAUGAGUUGCGCACGGGUGAGUAACGCGUAGAUCACCUCCCUGGUAGUGGGGGAUAUCUAUUAGACACGGUAGCUAAUACCGCAUAAAAUUUAUUAUUUCAUGAUGGUCAGUUAAAAGGUGCAACUGCGGCACUACCAGAUGGACCUGCGUUGUAUUAGCUAGUUGGUGGGGUAACGGCGCACCAAGGCGACGAUGCGUAGCCGACCUGAGAGGGUGACAGGCCACAUUGGGACUGAGAUAGGGCCCGGAGGGAUACGGGAGGAAGCAGCGGGGGAUAUUGCAAGAUGGGCGGAAGCAGGAUGCAGCAACGCCGCGUGGGGGAGGACGGUCGUAGGGGUGGAAAGCGCUUGAGCCUGGAAAGAAGAGUGAGUGACGGUAAUGGACAAAGAAGCAACGGCUAACUACGUG
Molecule: ribosomal RNA, 476 nt
Filed under: uncultured bacterium
Lineage: Bacteria
Description: partial 16S ribosomal RNA
Rfam family: Bacterial small subunit ribosomal RNA
Source: RNAcentral